Molecule: ribosomal RNA, 252 nt
Filed under: uncultured bacterium
Lineage: Bacteria
Description: partial 16S ribosomal RNA
Rfam family: Bacterial small subunit ribosomal RNA
Source: RNAcentral
GACGAACCGUGCAAACGUUGUUCGGAAUCACUGGGCUUAAAGGGCGCGUAGGCGGGUUCCCAAGUCGGUGGUGAAAUCUUUCAGCUCAACUGGAAAAGUGCCGCCGAUACUGGGAGUCUGAGGGAGGUAGGGGUCGGGGGAACUAAUGGUGGAGCGGUGAAAUGCGUAGAUAUCAUUAGGAACGCCGGUGGCGAAAGCGCCCGACUGGACCUCUUCUGACGCUGAGGCGCGAAAGCCAGGGGAGCAAACGGG